RNAcentral lists this ribosomal RNA (470 nucleotides) under uncultured bacterium. RNAcentral describes it as "bacterial SSU rRNA". It matches the Rfam family "Bacterial small subunit ribosomal RNA", at positions 214 to 674 of the family's 1533-position model. The record is from RNAcentral.
CCUGCUUCUGGAUGAGCCCGCGUCCCAUCAGCUAGUUGGUAGGGUAAUGGCCUACCAAGGCUACGACGGGUAGCUGGUCUAAGAGGAUGGCCAGGCCACACUGGAACUGAGACACGGUCCAGACUCCUACGGGAGGCAGCAGUGGGGAAUCUUGCGCAAUGGGCGAAAGCCUGACGCAGCGACGCCGCGUGGGUGACGAAGGCCUUCGGGUUGUAAAGCCCUGUGGGGUAGAACGAACUGGCAUCGGGCUAAUAUCCCGGUGUCUUGACGGUACUGCCUUAGCAAGCAUCGGCUAACUCUGUGCCAGCAGCCGCGGUAAGACAGAGGAUGCGAACGUUGCUCGGAUUUACUGGGCGUAAAGCGCGUGUAGGCGGUCUCGUUAGUCGGGUGUGAAAGCCCCGGGCUCAACCCGGGAAGUGCACCCGAUACUGCGAGACUGGGGUACUGAAGAGGAGAGCGGAAUUCCCGGU